RNAcentral lists this ribosomal RNA (75 nucleotides) under Dendrobium huoshanense. Its description in RNAcentral is "partial 26S ribosomal RNA". The record is from RNAcentral. Lineage: Eukaryota; Viridiplantae; Streptophyta; Magnoliopsida; Asparagales; Orchidaceae.
UGACCCCAGGAUGGGCGAGGCCACCCGCUGAGUUUAAGCAUAUCAAUAAGCGGAGGAAGGAAAACACUAAACAAC